AUAAUCUUGGAAGAAACACAAGCGGGGAUUUGAGGUUUCUUGAUUUUCUAGUUAACUGCACAAGUUUACAAGUUCUUAGCUUUGAGGACAAUAUUUUGGGAGGUGAAUUGCCUAAAACAAUCGGUAACCUUUCCACGAGGCUAGAAAUAUUGGCUCUUGGUGAUAAUAUCAUAGUUGGUUCUCUUCCUACAGGACUAGAAAACCUUGUUAAUUUGACCCUUCUAUCUCUGGAUAAUAGCUACUUGAGAGGUAGUGUUCCUGAGUCUUUAGGUAAACUUCGACGCCUGCAA
Molecule: unclassified non-coding RNA, 290 nt
Filed under: Hevea brasiliensis (rubber tree)
Lineage: Eukaryota; Viridiplantae; Streptophyta; Magnoliopsida; Malpighiales; Euphorbiaceae
Source: RNAcentral